This 120-nucleotide ribosomal RNA is filed under the name Candidatus Sungiibacteriota bacterium. Lineage: Bacteria; Candidatus Sungiibacteriota. The record is from RNAcentral.
UGCUGGUGUUUUACCUAGAUGUGAUCCACCUGAUUCCAUUCCGAACUCAGUAGUGAAAGCAUCUAGGCCCAAUGAUACUUGGUGCCAAUCCGCGCCUGGGAAAGUAGGGUACGCCAGUAA